UCGGCAACAGCCGGCAAUAUCGGCAUCGGCAAACUGCAGCGGUCCGCUGUCAGGCCAAUGCUGGUGAUUGGCACUGACAUUGAACCUGAUAUAUGAUUUGAUCUUGUUAUGAUAACAUAAAAGAAAAAAACACAUUUGUCGAUUACAAUGUGACAAAUAAUAGAUCAAGUAUAUUUACAAAUAAUACAAUAUUUCUAUUUGAACUCAAAAUAUUAACUUUAUUUUUAAUUUUUAAAUUAAAUAGAUCAAGCACAUUCACUGACCAUUUUGGCUGCACAUAUACAACAGACAGAGAACAUACAGACGGGAUUCGUCACAUCUUACAAUUCAUUCAGCAAAUUACAUGAUAUUGGCAAAAGUUUGGAAUAUCGCGAGCGGUUAUGUUACGUUGGUCCAACGUUUUCACAACAUGUUUCCAAGGGAAGCUACUCUUGUUAUAGAGGGCGCUGUUACUCACGCGCGUCUUUUCAAGCAGACGACGAUCGGGGUGAUGCGGAGGGCUGAGGGAAAAUCUAUUUUGCGAAAAUCAGAUGUUUAGCCAUUGCCUAUUGGCAAACAUGGAUGAGCUGAAUGAACUCUUAGCAGCUUUUCCAAAAUCGAGCAACUGAGAGAGAACUGAAGCUGAGGAGGAAGCCUGCAGCUGGGCUCUUACAAGCCACUGACAAGUACAUGGUGACCUGUGUAAAAGAAUGGCUUCGAGUUCCAGGAGCAAGGCUUAGAAAUGGCAUAAGGAAAACGCGUACUGAAAAACAGAGAUGUAGAUAGAGAAUCUGCAAACAAAAGUGCUGAAUUGCAACGGAACAAAGAAAUCCAAAAUGUUGGUGUUGACAACAUAUUUUUCACAGGGUUAUGACCCUUGUUUUUGAACUUGGUACAUAUUCUGCCAGGUUCUCUUGGACACUACUGAAGUUAAUAAAUGAAACUUUCCGUGCUUACCUAAGGUACAAACUCCAGAAGAUGGUUAUAAGAACUUAUUUUGUAUGGAGUUAUGGCCUUUGCUUCAUGCUAUUUUAACUUGAUGAAAUAUAGGGGGGGGGAGUUUGUCUUGCAAACGAAUUUGAAGCCACAUAAAUGAAAUUUUGCAGGCCAAUAUGAGGGGUAUAUGUUUAGACUGUGUUUUAAAACAGGUUUUGAGAAUAUAUGUUUCACAUCCGCCUUGUUGCAGGUAGUAACACUGUUUUCUUGUAAAUAAUAAUUAAUUAAUAAUAAAGUUUAUUAUUCUA
This 1223-nucleotide long non-coding RNA is filed under the name Haliotis rufescens (red abalone). RNAcentral describes it as "uncharacterized LOC124152964, transcript variant X1". The record is from RNAcentral. Lineage: Eukaryota; Metazoa; Mollusca; Gastropoda; Lepetellida; Haliotidae.